RNAcentral lists this ribosomal RNA (1165 nucleotides) under uncultured fungus. Its description in RNAcentral is "eukaryotic LSU rRNA". The stretch from base 532 to 1165 matches the Rfam family "Eukaryotic large subunit ribosomal RNA", at positions 1 to 649 of the family's 3401-position model. The record is from RNAcentral. Lineage: Eukaryota; Fungi.
AAGUCGUAACAAGGUUUCCGUAGGUGAACCUGCGGAAGGAUCAUUACCAAACUAGUCUUCGGUGGGGGGAAACCUCCGCCGUGUAAGCUCACUAGUCACCCUUGAAUAAACUACCUUUGUUGCUUUGGCGGGUCGCCUUUUUGGCCAGCGGCUUCGGCUGCUGCGUGCCCGCCAGAGGACCACAACUCUUGUUUUUAGUGAUGUCUGAGUACUAUAUAAUAGUUAAAACUUUCAACAACGGAUCUCUUGGUUCUGGCAUCGAUGAAGAACGCAGCGAAAUGCGAUAAGUAAUGUGAAUUGCAGAAUUCAGUGAAUCAUCGAAUCUUUGAACGCACAUUGCGCCCUCUGGUAUUCCGGAGGGCAUGCCUGUUCGAGCGUCAUUAUAACCACUCAAGCCUUCGCUUGGUAUUGGGGUUCGCGGUUCCGCGGCCCCUAAAAUCAGUGGCGGUGCCUGUCGGCUCUACGCGUAGUAAUACUCCUCGCGUCUGGGUCCGGUGGGUGACUUGCCAGCAACCCCCAAUUUUUUAAGGUUGACCUCGGAUCAGGUAGGGAUACCCGCUGAACUUAAGCAUAUCAAUAAGCGGAGGAAAAGAAACCAACAGGGAUUACCUCAGUAACGGCGAGUGAAGCGGUAACAGCUCAAAUUUGAAGGCUAGCUCUUUUAGGGUUCGCAUUGUAAUUUGUAGAAGAUGCUUCGGGUGUGGCCCCGGUCUAAGUUCCUUGGAACAGGACGUCAUAGAGGGUGAGAAUCCCGUAUGUGACUGGGUGCUUUCGCUCAUGUGAAGCUCUUUCGACGAGUCGAGUUGUUGGGGAAUGCAGCUCAAAAUGGGUGGUAUAUUUCAUCUAAAGCUAAAUAUUGGCCAGAGACCGAUAGCGCACAAGCAGAGUGAUCGAAAGAUGAAAAGCACUUUGGAAAGAGAGUUAAACAGUACGUGAAAUUGUUGAAAGGGAAGCGCUUGCAACCAGACUUGCGCGCUGAUGAUCAUCCGGGCUUCUGUCCGGUGCACUCGUCUGCGCUCAGGCCAGCAUCGGUUUCGGUGGUGGGAUAAAGGCCUUGGGAAUGUAGCUCCUCUCGGGGAGUGUUAUAGCCCUCGGUGCAAUGCCGCCUACCGGGACCGAGGACCGCGCUUCGGCUAGGAUGCUGGCGUAAUGGUUGUAAGCGACC